This is a non-coding RNA of Carica papaya (papaya), 578 nucleotides long. Lineage: Eukaryota; Viridiplantae; Streptophyta; Magnoliopsida; Brassicales; Caricaceae. The record is from RefSeq and is a predicted model, not a curated record.
GUCUCAGUAGAUUCCAGAGACCACCUUCUCCAUUUUCUUUUACUCUCCUGCAUGUGUAUAAAUUUCCAAUACCUGCACACAAUAAAAAAGGCAGAAAAUUAAAGAGCAUUAAAUACUCCAUAUUCACCUGGUUGGGUUUCUUUACAUGAUAUCAGAGCAGUGCCUGUGAUAAGCACUGAUUUCUUUGAUUUUUACAUUACACUAUUAUUCUACUACUCAAUGGCAAACCCUAAUACAGAUGUGUUGACACUCCUAAACUCGGAUCAGCAUGGAAUGCAACUUGUCACAACCACCCUUGAUGGCUCCAACCACUUGUCUUGGAGCCGAGCCAUGGUGAUUGCGUUUAGAGCUAAGGACAAGCUCGUUCUCGUUGAUGGCAGAUGCAAAAAGCCCGAACCUGAUGCAGCAGAAUAUGAAUAAUGACACAAAACAGACAGCAUGGUGGUGUCUUAGAUCCUAAACUCGAUGAAUAAAGAGCUCGCUAACGCCUUCCUGUUUACCACAUCAGCAAAAAACUUGUGGGAUGAAAUAAAAGAGAGCCUAUUAUACAAAACUCAAAAGGCUAUGGGAUGAGUUAA